This 253-nucleotide ribosomal RNA is filed under the name uncultured bacterium. RNAcentral describes it as "partial 16S ribosomal RNA". It matches the Rfam family "Bacterial small subunit ribosomal RNA", at positions 524 to 776 of the family's 1533-position model. The record is from RNAcentral.
UACGGAGGGUGCAAGCGUUAUCCGGAUUCACUGGGGUUAAAGGGUGCGUAGGUGGGCAGGUAAGUCAGUGGUGAAAUCUCUGGGCUUAACCCAGAAACUGCCGUUGAUACUAUCUGUCUUGAAUAUAGUGGAGGUGAGCGGAAUAUGUCAUGUAGCGGUGAAAUGCUUAGAUAUGACAUAGAACACCCAUUGCGAAGGCAGCUCGCUACACUAUUAUUGACACUGAGGCACGAAAGCGUGGGGAUCAAACAGG